This 253-nucleotide ribosomal RNA is filed under the name uncultured bacterium. Its description in RNAcentral is "partial 16S ribosomal RNA". It matches the Rfam family "Bacterial small subunit ribosomal RNA", at positions 524 to 776 of the family's 1533-position model. The record is from RNAcentral.
UACAGAGGUGGCAAGCGUUGUUCGGAAUUACUGGGCGUAAAGGGCGCGUAGGCGGUCGGGCAAGUCCUGUGUGAAAUCCCUCGGCUCAACUGAGGAACUGCACGGGAAACUGCUCGACUUGAGUUCGGGAGAGGGAAGCGGAAUUCCGGGUGUAGCGGUGAAAUGCGCAGAUAUCAGGAGGAACACCGGUGGCGAAGGCGGAUCUCUGGGCCAUUACUGACGCUGAGGAGCGAAAGCGUGGGGAGCGAACAGG